RNAcentral lists this non-coding RNA (25 nucleotides) under Drosophila melanogaster (fruit fly). The record is from RNAcentral. Lineage: Eukaryota; Metazoa; Arthropoda; Insecta; Diptera; Drosophilidae.
UAUAGUCGAGUUCCCCGAAUAUCAG